Molecule: long non-coding RNA, 3271 nt
Filed under: Homo sapiens (human)
Lineage: Eukaryota; Metazoa; Chordata; Mammalia; Primates; Hominidae
Description: HSALNT0097899
Rfam family: Metazoan signal recognition particle RNA (bases 1354-1470)
Source: RNAcentral
CCGGCCGCUCCGCGCCCACCUGUGGCCCUCUUGGCCCUUCUGCCCGUGCCUGGCCCCGCCGGGUCGCUCCCGAGCUCCGCGUUUCGUUCGCCGACCCCUGGAAGACUGCCUGGAGGCCCGGGCGCCACCCAACCACUGGCUAGGCCGACACUUUGCGCGGACCCUGGGUGUAAAAGGUCCCCGGGUCUCUGGUCCCGACGGAGCUGUGAGGGAGAUCAACCACGCCCCCUCCGUGGGCACCGUGGCGGCAGGGAAGGAAAAGGGCUCUGGGUCUCGACUCUCUUCGGGUUAAGAACCGACGGGGUUUAUUCUAUGCAAGGUGUUAUUAACUCCAACUCUCCCUUUCGUUCAUUCAUUCCAUAUAUGUUGAACGACAACUUAGUGCCAAAUGCCGGCAUGCUGAAACUCAGAGAGGGAAGAUGUCUUGCAAGUACAGCAGCCACACCCAGAGUUUCGCUCUUGUUCCCUGGGCUGCAGUGCAGUGGCACCAUCUCGGCUCACCGCAACCUCCGCCUCCCAAGUUCAAGCGAUUCUCCUGCCUCAGCCUCCCCAGUAUCUGGGAUUACAGGUAUGCGCCAGUAAAGACAGAUCUUGAGAACCCAAGAUCAUCAAGGAGUAUCCAUGAUCAAGCAGAGCAGGGAAGGCUUUUUGCUUUGUUUUGUUUUGUUUUUAACAUGCUGUGUGGUUCAGUAAAAUUAAAACAGGCACAAUGAUAUCCUGGAUGACAAGAGCUGGAGGCUGUCAUUCUAACAAUGUAGUGAGACUGGCUGUCUUGUCUCAUGCCCACCCCUGGAAACAUGCGCAGGAACUCAAAGCACCUAGCACAGAGGAAGUGUCUGGUUGUUUUAAAGGAAAAACAAAACCAAAAAAAGCACCUCCUGCUCUGACCACCCCUAUUUCCAGUUUUCCCUUUUGGCACAGCAAAGAUGACCUUGGGACUGAGGUGGAACCAUGUAAUUCUUCGUAAUCCCAGAGUCAGGCAGACCUGGGAGAUAACAUCCAUCUCGAAGGAAGAUCUGGCCUGAAGAGCAGUCACUCUUGCCUGGCAUGCAGAGAAUGCCAAAUCAUAUUAAUGACUGGCCAGAAUGAAGUGCGUGACCUCAUCACUCCAUAACUGACAGGAAACAACUGCUAGGGCAAGAAAAAAGGGUCUCCAGUGAGUAUUCUUGUCCACACACAUCCCCACUCACGUUCCUGGACCACUGCAUCUAACUGCCGCAGCAGCUAAUGAACCUUCUGGAAUAAAGGACCAGUUUCUUAAGAAGGGAUUGAGACCUCCAGUGGCCUCCCACAUUGUUUCCGGCAAGAAUUUAAAAAUUAUUUGUAACAUAUAGUAAUAAAAACUAACCACAGGCUGGGCGCAGUGGCUCACGCCUGUAAUCCCAGCACUUUGGGAGGCUGAGGCAGGUGGAUCACCUGAGGUCAGGAGUUCGAGACCAGCCUGACCAAUAUGGUGAAACCCUGUUUCUCCUAAAAAUACAAAAAUUAGCUGGGCAUGGUGGUGGGCGCCUGUAAUCUCAGCUACUCAGGAGGCUGAAACAGGAGAACUGCUUGAAUCUGGGAGGUAGAUGUUGCAGUGAGCCGAUAUCGCGCCAUUGCACUCCAGCCUGGGCAAUGACUCCGUCUCAAAAAAAAAAAAAAAAAAAAAAAACUAACCACAGCUACUAUUUAUGAACUCUAGUGCCACACCCCAUUUCUUCCCAGGUUUCACCCCCUCUUCCCAGGUUUCACCCACCCCAACCAGUGUUGUUUGCAACACUUCAGCUUCUCUCCUCACGAAGCACGUCUCCAGAGACGCCUCUUCCGCAACUUCCCAGGGAAGCCAUUUCUGCCUGGACCCACCACAGCUCCCAACCUGUCACGCACCCCUGGAGGGUUUUGCUCUGUAAUCCUGAUUUAGAAAUCCUCUUAUAUGAAACCACUGUAAUCCACAUCUGGUUAGACAAUUGGAAAAGUUCAUUGAAAGGAGAAAUAAUAAAAAUGGCAUCCAUCCCUUAAAUGUUGUAUGCCAACGUAAAACACAUUCGACAAUGACCCUGGGCUAAGGCUCUACCUUACAGAGAAACCUGUAUCGGUGUUCCCCUCCAUUUUCCUUACAUAAACCAACCAAAAAUCUUCAGUUGUUCCGUUCUCUGUCUCUCUCCCUCUCCACACCCACCUUCCCUCUUCCUCUCUCCCUCCCUCCCUCUCUCUUUCUCUCUUUUUUGAGACAGAGUUUCACUCUGUCACCCAGGCUGGAGUGCAGCGGCUAGAUCUUGGUUCACUGCAGCCUCCACCACUCCCCCCACUUCCCCCCCGCCGCCCCUGCCCCCACCGCAGCCUCCCAGGUGGCUGGGACUACAGGCCACCACGCCCACUAAUUUUUGUAUUUUUUCUAUAGAGACGGGGUUUCAUCAUGUUGCCCAGACUGGUCUCAAACUCUUGGGCUCAAGCAAUCCUCUCACCUCAGCCUCCCGGUGCUGGGAUUAUAGGCGUGAACCAUCGCGUCCGGCCUCCCAAAUCUUUUACAGUUGUCUUGUUCACUUCUCAUUCAGCAGCAUUUUGAGUUGGGAGGGGUAACAACUCACCUUAAUCAAGUCUCUCUAAAGCAUUCAACUUAGUUUUACUAGGUUCAUUUCUUGUAGCUCAUUGGUUUAACUAAUAGUUCCCCAAAUCACAUCCUACCAGUAUAAAAGCACAACUGGUAUAAACACGUUUGGGAACACACAUAACUCAAGUAUCAGGAUGUAAGAGCGAGAGCAUGGGGAGAGUUAAGAAUUUCUCACAGACUGAUUCCCUCCCACAUUCAUCCCUGGUGUGUUUAUCCGUGUUAGGGCUGUUCUGAUGAAAGUCUUGUAGGACUUGGCAGCAAGAUGGGAAAGAUCCAUGGAAGUCCAUUGCUCAUAGCUGAUGAUGAUCUCUCAUUGCUGAGCUUAGGGUUGAAAAAGGAGUGCCAGGUCCUUUGAAAUCAAGAAGAAUUUAUGAAUCACCUUUCAUUUAUGGAGCCCUUAGCUCAAAGCUCUAAAGUUAGUCUUUUCUCAAGAUUAUAUCCUAUUUGGGAAUGCUCAUAAUGGUCCAAUCACCAUUUGUGAAAACUUACUGUGUACCAGCAAUAAACACUCUUCUACAUAGACAAUCUCAUUCUAAUAUAAUUUCUGUGCACGUUAUAGAUUCUAUUUCUGAAACAGCCCUAUGUGGUAGUUUUAUUACUAUCCUCAUUUUCACCCAACAAAUCUGAGGCACUGAGAGGUUAAGGACCUGGACUGAAGCUGCACAGCUAGAAGGUGACAGA